This is a long non-coding RNA of Ictalurus punctatus (channel catfish), 538 nucleotides long. RefSeq lists it as uncharacterized. The record is from RefSeq and is a predicted model, not a curated record. The transcript has 3 exons. NCBI's taxonomy places the organism in Eukaryota, Metazoa, Chordata, Actinopteri, Siluriformes, Ictaluridae.
GGUCAGACCUCCAGUCAGACGUCGAAGUGUCUGGGUAAAGACCAUCAAGGUGUAAAACAUGCAGAUAUUUGUUCAGCACAUCGCUAUUGCUAUUCCUUGAUGCUUUGAGAGCAUAUUCAAAGUUGUAUUUUUCAUGAAACAUUGUAGAAUUUGGCAAUAUAGUCAAUAUUUUACACUCUUACAGAGAUUCUGCAGAACUGGCAGCCGAUGGACGAUAUGCCGUGUGAGCGUAUUCUUCUGCUUUCUGAUUGACUUUCUUUGCCAUGCUGAGGGAGGUGUUGACUAAAUUAGAGAUGGUGCUGGACCAACAAAUCACUGAGAUUGCUUCAACUACAGGAGGUCCAGCUGCAGCCUUUGGAUAUUGAUGAAGAUUUACUGCCCCUGCAAGACCUUCCUCAACUGCGUAGUCUGGAGCGAAGGAUGCAACAGAGCCCAGAUUACAAGCAAGAUCUGUUCAUAGAAACCUCUUUACGCCUAAAGCUGCAGCGAUGGAGGUCGAGGGGACCAUGAAGAGGUGGCUCCAGCUGGCAUCAGAUCA